CUACAGGCUGCAGCAGUGGGGAAUAUUGGGCAAUGGGCGCAAGCCUGACCCAGCAACGCCGCGUGAGGGAAGAAGGUUUUCGGAUUGUAAACCUCUGUCCUUGGGGACGAAGAAGUGACGGUACCCAAGGAGGAAGCUCCGGCUAACUACGUGCCAGCAGCCGCGGUAAUACGUAGGGAGCAAGCGUUGUCCGGAAUUACUGGGCGUAAGGGGUGCGUAGGCGGCAUAUUAAGUCAGGUGUGAAAUACUCGGGCUCAACCCGGGGGCUGCAUUUGAAACUGAUAUGCUUGAGUGUGAGAGAGGAAAGUGGAAUUCCUAGUGUAGCGGUGGAAUGCGUAGAUAUUAGGAGGAACACCAGUGGCGAAGGCGACUUUCUGGCUCAUAACUGACGCUGAGGCACGAAAGCGUGGGGAGCAAACAGGAUUAGAUACCCGAGUAGUC
Molecule: ribosomal RNA, 441 nt
Filed under: uncultured bacterium
Lineage: Bacteria
Description: partial 16S ribosomal RNA
Rfam family: Bacterial small subunit ribosomal RNA
Source: RNAcentral